This 229-nucleotide ribosomal RNA is filed under the name uncultured bacterium. RNAcentral describes it as "partial 16S ribosomal RNA". It matches the Rfam family "Bacterial small subunit ribosomal RNA", at positions 568 to 796 of the family's 1533-position model. The record is from RNAcentral.
AGUGUAGGCGGCUAUUUAAGUCGGAUGUGAAAUCCCCGGGCUCAACCUGGGAAUGGCAUUCGAAACUGAAUAGCUAGAGUUUGGUAGAGGUAAGUGGAAUUCCGGGUGUAGCGGUGAAAUGCGUAGAUAUCCGGAGGAACAUCAGUGGCGAAGGCGGCUUACUGGACCAAAACUGACGCUGAGGCUCGAAAGCGUGGGGAGCAAACAGGAUUAGAUACCCUGGUAGUCC